UACGUAGGGACCGAGCGUUGUCCGGAAUCAUUGGGCGUAAAGGGCGUGUAGGCGGAGAUGUAAGUCUAUUCUGAAAGCUCCUGGCUAAACUGGGAGAGGCGAAUGGAGACUGCAUAUCUAGAGUGAGGAAGAGGAAAGUGGAAUUCCGCGUGUAGUGGUGAAAUGCGUAGAGAUGCGGAGGAACACCAGUGGCGAAAGCGACUUUCUGGUCCUUAACUGACGCUGAGGCGCGAAAGCAUGGGGAGCGAACGGGG
This 254-nucleotide ribosomal RNA is filed under the name uncultured bacterium. RNAcentral describes it as "partial 16S ribosomal RNA". It matches the Rfam family "Bacterial small subunit ribosomal RNA", at positions 524 to 777 of the family's 1533-position model. The record is from RNAcentral.